GAGACUCUGUGCGCGUGCAUAUCAAUAAGCGGAGGAAAAGAAACUAACAAGGAUUCCCUAGUAACGGCGAGUGAAGCGGGAAGAGCUUAAAUUUGAAAUCUUAAAGGUUUUCCCUUGACGAAUUGUAGUUUAAAGAAGUGUUUUCUGUUGGAGUUUUCGGUAAAAGUUCUUUGGAAUAGGACAUCAUAGAGGGUGAGAAUCCCGUAUUUGACCAUUACUUUCCAGCUGUGUGAUACACUUUCAAAGAGUCGGAUUGUUUGGGAAUGCAGUCCAAAAUGGGUGGUAAAUUUCAUCUAAAGCUAAAUAUUGGCGAGAGACCGAUAGCGAACAAGUACCGUGAGGGAAAGGAUGAAAAGAACUUUGAAAAGAGAGUUAAACAGUACGUGAAAUUGUCAAAAGGGAAGCGUUUGACACCAGUGUUGUUUAGUUGAAAAUCAAUUCAAUAGUUUUUGAUUCUAAGUAGUAUUGACUUCAUCAGCUUGCUGCUUUCUUCUCAGAAAUUAUUGAAUGCACUUUUCAGUUAACAAGUCAACAUCAAUUUCUUUUGUUGUAAAAGGGUAAGAGGAAGGUGGCUUACGCUUCGGCGUAAGUGUUUAUAGCCUUUUACCUCUGCAAUCGGAGAGAUUGGGGACAGCAGCGUAGACUCUUCGGGGUUAGAUACACUUGUGCUAAGCUAUAGCCUUGUAUAGACAACUUGUUGACUAUGCUCAGUCAUGUAGCUUACUCGCUUGUGCUAUUUUACCUACGCUUAGGAUGUUGACAGCAGUAUAGACUGU
RNAcentral lists this ribosomal RNA (776 nucleotides) under uncultured Neocallimastigales. RNAcentral describes it as "partial large subunit ribosomal RNA". It matches the Rfam family "Eukaryotic large subunit ribosomal RNA", at positions 23 to 638 of the family's 3401-position model. Lineage: Eukaryota; Fungi; Neocallimastigomycota; Neocallimastigomycetes; Neocallimastigales. The record is from RNAcentral.